ACGAACGCUGGCGGCGUGCCUAAUACAUGCAAGUUGAGCGAUGAAGAUUGGUGCUUGCACCAAUUUGAAGAGCAGCGAACGGGUGAGUAACGCGUGGGGAAUCUGCCUUUGAGCGGGGGACAACAUUUGGAAACGAAUGCUAAUACCGCAUAACAACUUUAAACAUAAGUUUUAAGUUUGAAAGAUGCAAUUGCAUCACUCAAAGAUGAUCCCGCGUUGUAUUAGCUAGUUGGUGAGGUAAAGGCUCACCAAGGCGAUGAUACAUAGCCGACCUGAGAGGGUGAUCGGCCACAUUGGGACUGAGACACGGCCCAAACUCCUACGGGAGGCAGCAGUAGGGAAUCUUCGGCAAUGGACGAAAGUCUGACCGAGCAACGCCGCGUGAGUGAAGAAGGUUUUCGGAUCGUAAAACUCUGUUGGUAGAGAAGAACGUUGGUGAGAGUGGAAAGCUCAUCAAGUGACGGUAACUACCCAGAAAGGGACGGUUAACUACGUG
Molecule: ribosomal RNA, 496 nt
Filed under: uncultured bacterium
Lineage: Bacteria
Description: partial 16S ribosomal RNA
Rfam family: Bacterial small subunit ribosomal RNA
Source: RNAcentral